UGCCCCAUGGCUGAGUUGGUUACAGCGUCCGACUGUUAGAAAUGUCAGGAAAUCGGAAGGUCGAGAGUUCGAGCCUCUCUGGGGCAG
This 87-nucleotide transfer RNA is filed under the name Lentinula edodes (shiitake mushroom). Its description in RNAcentral is "tRNA-Asn". It matches the Rfam family "tRNA". Rfam says of the family: Transfer RNA (tRNA) molecules are approximately 80 nucleotides in length. Their secondary structure includes four short double-helical elements and three loops (D, anti-codon, and T loops). Further hydrogen bonds mediate the characteristic L-shaped molecular structure. tRNAs have two regions of fundamental functional importance: the anti-codon, which is responsible for specific mRNA codon recognition, and the 3' end, to which the tRNAs corresponding amino acid is attached (by aminoacyl-tRNA synthetases). tRNAs cope with the degeneracy of the genetic code in two manners: having more than one tRNA (with a specific anti-codon) for a particular amino acid; and 'wobble' base-pairing, i.e. permitting non-standard base-pairing at the 3rd anti-codon position. Lineage: Eukaryota; Fungi; Basidiomycota; Agaricomycetes; Agaricales; Omphalotaceae. The record is from RNAcentral.